UACGUAGGGUGCGAGCGUUGUCCGGAAUUAUUGGGCGUAAAGCGCUUGUAGGCGGCUUGUUAAGUUCCGUGUGAAAUCCCCAGGCUUAACCUGGGAAGUGCGCGGAAAACUGGCGAGCUUGAGUGCCGGAGAGGGUCGCGGAAUUCCCGGUGUAGAGGUGAAAUUCGUAGAUAUCGGGAGGAACACCAGUGGCGAAGGGCGGC
Molecule: ribosomal RNA, 203 nt
Filed under: uncultured bacterium
Lineage: Bacteria
Description: partial 16S ribosomal RNA
Rfam family: Bacterial small subunit ribosomal RNA
Source: RNAcentral